Molecule: ribosomal RNA, 406 nt
Filed under: uncultured bacterium
Lineage: Bacteria
Description: partial 16S ribosomal RNA
Rfam family: Bacterial small subunit ribosomal RNA
Source: RNAcentral
AUUGAACGCUGGCGGCAGGCUUAACACAUGCAAGUCGAACGAGUGGCGGACGGGUGAGUAAUGCUUGGGACUCUAGCUUAUGGAGGGGGAUAACUACGGGAAACUGUAGCCAAUACCGCGUACCAUAGGGUGAGCCCAAGUGGGAUUAGGUAGUUGGUGUGGUAAAGGCUCACCUCGGCGACGAUCGCUAGCUGGUCUGAGAGGAUGAUCAGCCACACGGCGACUGAGACACGGCCCAGACUCCUACGGGAGGCAGCAGUGGGGAAGUUGGCACAAUGGGCGCAAGCCUGAUGCAGCCAUGCCGCGUGUAUGAAGAAGGCCUUAGGGUUGUAAAGUACUUUCAGCGGGGAGGCGUUACCCGCAGAAGAAGCACCGGCUAACUCCGUGCCAGCAGCCGCGGUAAUAC